Molecule: ribosomal RNA, 468 nt
Filed under: uncultured bacterium
Lineage: Bacteria
Description: partial 16S ribosomal RNA
Rfam family: Bacterial small subunit ribosomal RNA
Source: RNAcentral
GACGAACGCUGGCGGCGUGCUUAACACAUGCAAGUCGAACGGAAAGGCCCUGCUUUUGUGGGGUGCUCGAGUGGCGAACGGGUGAGUAACACGUGAGUAACCUGCCCUUGACUUUGGGAUAACUUCAGGAAACUGGGGAUAAUACCGGAUAGGAGCUCCUGCUGCAUGGUGGGGGUUGGAAAGUUUCGGCGGUUGGGGAUGGACUCGCGGCUUAUCAGCUUGUUGGUGGGGUAGUGGCUUACCAAGGCUUUGACGGGUAGCCGGCCUGAGAGGGUGACCGGCCACAUUGGGACUGCGGUACGGCCCAGACUCCUACGGGAGGCAGCAGUGGCGAGUAUUGCACAAUAGGCGGAAGCCUGAUGCAGCAACGCCGCGUGCGGGAUGACGGCCUUCGGGUUGUGAACCGCUUUCGCCUGUGACGAAGCGUGAGUGACGGUAAUGGAUAAAGAAGCACCGGCUAACUACGUG